RNAcentral lists this small RNA (1491 nucleotides) under Arabidopsis thaliana (thale cress). RNAcentral describes it as "ATSL160970". Lineage: Eukaryota; Viridiplantae; Streptophyta; Magnoliopsida; Brassicales; Brassicaceae. The record is from RNAcentral.
AAAUGAAAUGAAACUAAAAGCAGAAAUGGCAAUAACAGGCAAGUGAAUGACAAAGCAGAAAUGAUAACAGGCAAUCAAAUGGAUAAAAGAUUCCUAAGGAUGGGGUAAUCGAAUAGUGUGGUCUACUUAAUUUAUUCAGGCGGUUGACAAAACUUCACAGAAGCUAUCCCUAGACAACAAGUUCAACAACAGAUUAAUUCACUCCCGUGAUAGAAAUCCUCAAGCAAAGCUAGACACUGACCUAAAUCCCUUUAGCGAUCUCUAACUAAGCAGGCAUUAUCGAAUCAACAUGUUAAAGUCAAUACCCUCUCUACAGCCAAUCCCUUGGGGUAGAGUCAGAUAUCUCUGGAUUUAAUAGGAUCCAACGCCCAUUAAACGCCUUCUGAGCGCUGGACAUCUGGACUCAUACUCCACAUUAGCCAGUGAAAUAAGCAAUAAGCGCAACUAAUCCAGAAGGGAUUCUAGUAUUCUAAACUCAACCACCUAAAACGACCAAGUAAACCACAACUAUUCUAUCCCAUCCUCAGAAAUACAGUUCACUACUCAGACAUAAUCAAAGACAAUAACAAAGCAACAAUUGAAAACAUGAUAACAGAAAUGACGAAAGACUUAAACGAAAACUGAAUAUCUAAUACUUGAAGGCGAAACUACAAAGUCGCAGGAGAAACACUGCGGCUAUCAAAGUUGCGAAAAUGUAAAAGCGAGAUAGAAACGGAUAAUAGCGGAUGCCCUAGGGAAAACCCUAAGAGGUAGUUUAUAUAAGCGAAAAAUGAAACAAAUAAGGAAACUAAAUAUAAAGCGAAUCUUCACGUCAUGACCCCGCGACCGAAUGUGUCAUUGACAUCUGACGGGCUGAAAUGAGCUUCCUAGUGAUCGAGUAUGUCAUUGAUCAAACUGGGCUUCAGGGGCUCCGUCUUGCGAUCGAGUGAGAUGCAGUGAAGUCAAGAUUGAAUGGUCCAGUGACCCUGUGAUCGAGUGCGAUCGAGUGGAUGUCAUGAGGUGGUGAUCGAGUGGUUUCUUCGGCUUCUCUUCUCUUCUUUGUUCUCAGCUUGUCUGGUUGAGUGCAGAAUGAGCAGAUAGGCUUCCUGGUGAUCGAGUGGUGAUCGAGUGGUUCCGAUGGGGUGAUUCCUCCAGCUUCGCGAUUGAGUGAAACUGAGCUGCUUGCUUCUCCGGGGUUGCAAUAGAGUGAUUUGCCCUGGCAGGGCUCCGAGGCUGCGAUAGAGUACUUUUGCUGAAGGCGUCAUUGGGCAUUCUGACUUCAUGUUCUGUUUUUCUUCUGUUUGAACUCCAAAAGCAUACAAAGUACCUGAAAACAACCAAAUAUGCCAUGCACAUGCAAUCGUCCUAAGUAUGUAAAACACACUAAAACGACUCCUAAUGAGAUGAAAUGUGGAUGAAACAAUGACAAAGUGGUGAAGAAUGAAUGCCUAAAUCAUGCAAAUUAUAGACAUAUCACAAGUCCCUCGAGUUACCGGUACCUCAGAAGCAUAC